Molecule: long non-coding RNA, 632 nt
Organism: Sebastes umbrosus (honeycomb rockfish)
Lineage: Eukaryota; Metazoa; Chordata; Actinopteri; Perciformes; Sebastidae
Exons: 3
Source: RefSeq, a predicted model, not a curated record
CUGCUGUUAGAUGGACACAGAGAGAUAAAUACCUCUAUGUAGACAAAGUGCUGGCUGUUCUGGAUGACGCUGACGUAGGCGUUGUGGAUGGACUCCUCGUGGUACUUGAUGCCAGCGGACCAGUCGCUGGCCGAGCGGAGGAUCUGAGGAAGGAGAGAGACGAUAUGCAGUCCAGACGCCAGCGGUUGCCCUCGACAACCGGCCUCUUCAGGAAGAUCUCUGGACUCAACCUGUGGACCAACACACACUUUUUUCUUCUCCAGGAGCAGGAUGUGACAUCAUCUCUAAAGGAAUCUUGUGACGCUGCAAGAUCCCCAGUCUUUGCUAAAUAUUAUAGUCUGUGAUUAAAACCUCUGAGACUUGAGACACGUCGUGUUUAGAUGUGAGAGGAUGUCAGACGACUUCAGUCUUGCAAAACAAUGACUUGGUCCCACCUCUGACACUCAGCAUGUAGUAUUGAAAUGUGUACUAGUACACCAGUAGUCUGAGCCUCAGACUGUAACUGAUCCGUUUGACCAGAAAACCUCCCCGAGAGGUGACCGCCGGCUGCACUCACUGCACUCUGAGACACACACACACACACACAUAUAGAGACAAACCCCCCCCACCACCAUCCUUUCAAACACAUAAAC